CUAGCCAUACACCUCACAACUCCUGGUAAGUAACGUUAGUCAGCUAAUCCUACUUACGUUUGUAACACUUUAUUAAAAAGUUAAUAAUUAUUAAGCAUUUCCUAACAAUUGUCUUUGUAUUUUACGUCAUAUUCAACAAGUUUCGUAGCUUAAUCGAAGUCACCUGAAGGACGGCUUUCCUCAGCAACGGCAAGGCCCGCACUCCUCUCAUAUUGUGAAGUUUAACAAGUUUCGCGGCUCAAGCAAGAGGCACCUGUCACUGAAGGACUGCUUUUCUCAGCUACGACGUGAACAGCAUUACUCGAAUUUCCUGGUUCAGCUGAUCUACCCAUCUUCGUACAAGCAGAGUUGGCAGAGGAGGUCAUAAAAAUCUACAUCCUUCGGAACAAUGAUGGGGCAGUCAGCGAUGUAAUCUUGGGAAUCACAGCAGAGCCUGCUGCCAUCUUUUGGGAGUCACAUUGGAUUUGAGAUAUCCCAAGACCCACAAAUACAGGUCCU
Carassius gibelio (silver crucian carp) is the source of this 498-nucleotide long non-coding RNA. RefSeq lists it as uncharacterized. The record is from RefSeq and is a predicted model, not a curated record. Lineage: Eukaryota; Metazoa; Chordata; Actinopteri; Cypriniformes; Cyprinidae. The transcript is spliced from 3 exons.